RNAcentral lists this ribosomal RNA (443 nucleotides) under uncultured bacterium. RNAcentral's name for it is "bacterial SSU rRNA". It matches the Rfam family "Bacterial small subunit ribosomal RNA", at positions 64 to 507 of the family's 1533-position model. The record is from RNAcentral.
GAACGCCCUUCGUCUCGCAAGAGAGGGAGGGAGUGGCGGACGGGUGAGUAACACAUGGGUGACCUAGCCCGCAGUGAGGGAUACCGGCGAGAAAUUGCCGACAAGCCCGCAUAGGGUCUUGCUGGUAGAGCAGCGAGAGCAAAGGUUUUGUCUCGAGAGAGAGAGAGCCGCUGAGGGAUGGGCCUGUGGCCGAUUAGCUAGUUGGUGAGGUAAGAGCUCACCAAGGCGUCGAUCGGUAGCUGGUCUGAGAGGACGAUCAGCCACACUGGGAUUGAGAACGGCCCAGACUCCUACGGGGGGCAGCAGUGAGGAAUUUUCCGCAAUGGACGCAAGUCUGACGGAGCAACGCCGCGUGCAGGAGGACGCUUUUCGGAGUGUAAACUGCUUUUCUGUGGGAAGAGCUACGGACGGUACCACAGGAAGAAGCCCCGGCUAACUACGUG